CCUUAAAGAAGCUGCCUUUGCAGUGCUCACACAGAUUGUCUGAUGAAAAUAGAGCAGUAAGUAAUCUCUGCAGGCUUGUAGCUCAGGUGGUUAGAGCGCACCCCUGAUAAGGGUGAGGUCGGUGGUUCAAGUCCACUCAGGCCUACCAAAUUUGCGAAGCAAAUUUGAAGAGGUUGCGAACGAUGGGGCUAUAGCUCAGCUGGGAGAGCGCCUGCUUUGCACGCAGGAGGUCUGCGGUUCGAUCCCGCAUAGCUCCACCAUCUUUACUGCGAACACAAGAAAACUUCAGAGUGAACCUGAAAAGGUGCACUGCGAAGUUUUGCUCUUUAAAAAUCUGGAUCAAGCUGAAAAUUGAAACGACACACAGUUAAUGUGUGUUCGAGUCUCUCAAAUUUUCGCAAUCUGAAGACAUCUUCGGGUUGUGA
RNAcentral lists this unclassified non-coding RNA (425 nucleotides) under Klebsiella pneumoniae subsp. ozaenae. Its description in RNAcentral is "partial 16S-23S ribosomal RNA intergenic spacer". The stretch from base 325 to 418 matches the Rfam family "Salmonella enterica Typhi npcRNA 44". The record is from RNAcentral. Lineage: Bacteria; Pseudomonadati; Pseudomonadota; Gammaproteobacteria; Enterobacterales; Enterobacteriaceae.